CCUGUCAGCAUGAACGUAGCAUCAGUUUGCAUUCAGUGCGACAGCCUCUAGUGCGCCAACCUUUGGGAAAACCUAUCCUAGGAGAUCCGGUGAAGGAUCCAGCGGAUGAUCCACUGGCCGGAUGAUCCAAAGGACAGAUGGUAGUCCACAACUUACUCCGAGACGGUAUUAAUGUGAUCCC
Long non-coding RNA from Hippocampus zosterae (dwarf seahorse), 181 nucleotides. RefSeq lists it as uncharacterized. The record is from RefSeq and is a predicted model, not a curated record. NCBI's taxonomy places the organism in Eukaryota, Metazoa, Chordata, Actinopteri, Syngnathiformes, Syngnathidae. The transcript has 2 exons.